AUGAACGCUAGCGACAGGCCUAACACAUGCAAGUCAGGGGCAGCACAAGGAGCAAUCUGAGGUGGCGACCGGCGCACGGGUGAGUAACACGUAUGCAACCUGCCUGUAAGCGGGGAAUAACCCGUUGAAAGACGGACUAAUACCGCAUAAUACUAAAUUACUGCAUGGUAAUUUAUUUAAACAUUUAUGGCUUACAGAUGGGCAUGCGCAUGAUUAGCUAGUUGGAGAGGUAACGGCUCCCCAAGGCAACGAUCAUUAGGGGUUCUGAGAGGAAGGUCCCCCACACUGGUACUGAGACACGGACCAGACUCCUACGGGAGGCAGCAGUGAGGAAUAUUGGUCAAUGGACGAGAGUCUGAACCAGCCAAGUCGCGUGCAGGAAGAAUGUUCCCUAUGGAUUGUAAACUGCUUUUGCAGGGGAAUAAAGUGCAUCACGUGCGAUGUUUUGUAUGUACUCUGCGAAUAAGGAUCGGCUAACUCCGUGCCAGCCGCCGC
Molecule: ribosomal RNA, 495 nt
Filed under: uncultured bacterium
Lineage: Bacteria
Description: bacterial SSU rRNA
Rfam family: Bacterial small subunit ribosomal RNA
Source: RNAcentral